This 253-nucleotide ribosomal RNA is filed under the name uncultured bacterium. Its description in RNAcentral is "partial 16S ribosomal RNA". It matches the Rfam family "Bacterial small subunit ribosomal RNA", at positions 524 to 776 of the family's 1533-position model. The record is from RNAcentral.
UACGUAGGGUGCGAGCGUUAAUCGGGAUUACAGGGCGUAAAGCGUGCGCAGGCGGUUUUGUAAGACAGGUGUGAAAUCCCCGGGCUUAGCCUGGGAACUGCAUUUGUGACUGCAAGGCUAGAGUAUGGCAGAGGGGGGUAGAAUUCCACGUGCAGCAGUGAAAUGCGUAGAUAUGUGGAGGAAUACCGAUGGCGAAGGCAGCCCCCUGGGUCAAUACUGACGCUCAUGCACGAAAGCGUGGGGAGCAAACAGG